AAAAAGACAAAUCCUAGUUUCCGUGAUCAACGUUUGACCGUCCGUCUUAUUUAAAAAAAUUAUAAAAAAAUUAAAAAGACAAGUCACACAUAAAAUAUUAAUCAUGUUUUAUCAUCUAACAAAAAUGAAAAUAUGAAUUAUAAAAAUUUUUUAUAUAAGACGGACAGUUAAAUUUAGACACGAAAAUUCAGGGUUUGCCUUUUU
MicroRNA precursor from Oryza sativa Japonica Group (Japanese rice), 204 nucleotides. It matches the Rfam family "MIR812 microRNA precursor family". Lineage: Eukaryota; Viridiplantae; Streptophyta; Magnoliopsida; Poales; Poaceae. The record is from Rfam.